AAUACCAAAUUAUGUUAUAGUCAAAUUGCACAAAACUAGUGAUAUAAAGAAAAUAUUAAAACAGCCAGAGAAUGAUAGACGUAUUACAUAAGAGGAACAAAGAUAAGGAUGAGUACAGAUUUCUCAUUAGAAACAAAGUAAAUUAGGAGACAGUGAAGCAACAUCUUUAAAGUACAGGUGCUCUCGAUCUUGGCUCACUGCAACCUCCAACUUCCGGGUUCAAGUGAUUCUCCUGCCUCAGCCUCCCGAGUAGUGG
Molecule: long non-coding RNA, 256 nt
Filed under: Pan troglodytes (chimpanzee)
Lineage: Eukaryota; Metazoa; Chordata; Mammalia; Primates; Hominidae
Description: long non-coding RNA NONPTRT016112
Source: RNAcentral